AAGUCGUAACAAGGUUUCCGUAGGUGAACCGCGGAAGGAUCAUUAACACGUAUCCAAACGUUAACCGCCCUGUGAACAGUCGCUUUGUCAGAACGAGGCAAUCCCUGGUAAUCCAUCGCCGAACAGUUUUGAUUCUGGGACUUCUCAAUGUGCAUGUUGCGAGGCAAGUGGCUGACAUUCCCAAGCAGUUAGUGUCUGAAAGUGUCAGUCACGAUCGUUGGUACACACAGGGCGAAAGCUCCUUUAUCACCCUUUAUGCAUGUCAGAGGUCAGCCUUAAUUGUGCGGCACAAAAAACCGAACCUUUAUCACCCUUUAUGCAUGUCAGAGGUGUCAGCCUUAAUUGUGCGGCACAAAAAACCGAACAACUGUUAACAAUGGAUAUCUUGGUUCUC
RNAcentral lists this unclassified non-coding RNA (394 nucleotides) under fungal sp. RNAcentral describes it as "partial internal transcribed spacer region". The record is from RNAcentral. Lineage: Eukaryota; Fungi.